CCCGCUUUCGGCGGGGGAUUAGUUGGCGAACGGGUGAGUAACACGAUGGGCAAUCUGCCCUUCACUCUGGGACAAGCCCUGGAAACGGGGUCUAAUACCGGAUACGACCACUUCGGGCAUCCGAUGGUGGUGGAAAGCUCCGGCGGUGAAGGAUGAGCCCGCGGCCUAUCAGCUUGUUGGUGGGGUGAUGGCCUACCAAGGCGACGACGGGUAGCCGGCCUGAGAGGGCGACCGGCCACACUGGGACUGAGACACGGCCCAGACUCCUACGGGAGGCAGCAGA
Molecule: ribosomal RNA, 283 nt
Filed under: Streptomyces lavendulocolor
Lineage: Bacteria; Bacillati; Actinomycetota; Actinomycetes; Kitasatosporales; Streptomycetaceae
Description: partial 16S ribosomal RNA
Rfam family: Bacterial small subunit ribosomal RNA
Source: RNAcentral